This 83-nucleotide transfer RNA is filed under the name Actinomadura barringtoniae. It matches the Rfam family "tRNA". Rfam says of the family: Transfer RNA (tRNA) molecules are approximately 80 nucleotides in length. Lineage: Bacteria; Bacillati; Actinomycetota; Actinomycetes; Streptosporangiales; Thermomonosporaceae. The record is from Rfam by way of RNAcentral.
GGAGGGUUGGCCGAGCGGUAAGGCAGCGUCCUGCUAAGGCGUCGUCGGGGUCACCCGCGUGAGUUCGAUUCUCACACCCUCCG